RNAcentral lists this unclassified non-coding RNA (335 nucleotides) under soil metagenome. RNAcentral describes it as "partial contains 5.8S ribosomal RNA, internal transcribed spacer 2, and large subunit ribosomal RNA". The stretch from base 1 to 120 matches the Rfam family "5.8S ribosomal RNA", at positions 35 to 154 of the family's 154-position model. The record is from RNAcentral.
GAUGAAGAACGCAGCGAAAUGCGAUAAGUAAUGUGAAUUGCAGAAUUCAGUGAAUCAUCGAAUCUUUGAACGCACAUUGCGCCCGCCAGUAUUCUGGCGGGCAUGCCUGUUCGAGCGUCAUUUCAACCAUCAAGCCCCCGGCUUGUGUUGGGGACCUGCGGCUGCCGCAGGCCCUGAAAACCAGUGGCGGGCUCGCUAGUCACUCCGAGCGAAGUAAUACAUCUCGCUCAGGGCGUGCUGCGGGUUCCGGCCGUUAAAAGCCUUAUUUUACCCAAGGUUGACCUCGGAUCAGGUAGGAAGACCCGCUGAACUUAAGCAUAUCAAUAAGCGGAGGA